CCCUACGGGACGCAGCAGUGGGGGAUAUUGCACAAUGGGGGGAACCCUGAUGCAGCGACGCCGCGUGGGUGAAGAAGCGCCUCGGCGCGUAAAGCCCUGUCAGCAGGGAAGAAAAUGACGGUACCUGAAGAAGAAGCCCCGGCUAACUACGUGCCAGCAGCCGCGGUAAUACGUAGGGGGCAAGCGUUAUCCGGAUUUACUGGGUGUAAAGGGGGCGCAGACGGCGAUGCAAGCCAGGAGUGAAAGCCCGGGGCCCAACCCCGGGACUGCUCUUGGAACUGUAGAGCUUGAGUGUCGGAGAGGGG
Molecule: ribosomal RNA, 305 nt
Filed under: uncultured bacterium
Lineage: Bacteria
Description: bacterial SSU rRNA
Rfam family: Bacterial small subunit ribosomal RNA
Source: RNAcentral